Long non-coding RNA from Sander lucioperca (pikeperch), 205 nucleotides. RefSeq lists it as uncharacterized. The record is from RefSeq and is a predicted model, not a curated record. Lineage: Eukaryota; Metazoa; Chordata; Actinopteri; Perciformes; Percidae. The transcript has 3 exons.
GACUCAGAUGGCUGAAACCUGGUCUGAGGAAGUAUUCCUGUGAACUAACACUGGACACAAGCACAGUGAACAGAAGACUCAAACUGUCUGACAACAACAGGAAAGUGACACAGGUGAAGGAGGAUCAGCCAUAUCAUGAUCAUCCAGAGAGGUUUGAAUACUGGCCUCAGCUGCUGUGUAGAGAUGAUCUGACUGGUCGCUGUUA